UACGUAGGGUGCGAGCGUUAAUCGGAAUUACUGGGCGUAAAGCGUGCGCAGGCGGUUUUGUAAGCCAGAUGUGAAAUCCCCGGGCUUAACCUGGGAAUGGCAUUUGGGACUGCAAGGCUCGAGUGCGGCAGAGGAGACUGGAAUUCCUGGUGUAGCAGUGAAAUGCGUAGAUAUCAGGAGGAACACCGAUGGCGAAGGCAGGUCCCUGGGCUGACACUGACGCUCAUGCACGAAAGCGUGGGGAGCAAACAGG
RNAcentral lists this ribosomal RNA (253 nucleotides) under uncultured bacterium. RNAcentral describes it as "partial 16S ribosomal RNA". It matches the Rfam family "Bacterial small subunit ribosomal RNA", at positions 524 to 776 of the family's 1533-position model. The record is from RNAcentral.